CAACUAGGAGGAAAGGAAACCAUACAAGACUCAGAGGAGGCGCAGUGCUGAAGUGAAAUACUAAGAAAAUGAAUGGUGAAAACAUCUCCUCUGUAAAGAAUUAAGCAAAACAUACACACGAAAAAAGUACAAAGAAGGAAAAGAUCUGGAGGGUGUGAAAAAGCAGCAUACCUACCACUAAAGACAGGCACCAUGAUGAGCAGAGCAUUCAGCUCCGCUGAUGUUUUUCCACGUGAUGUGUGUAUAAGAUAAAAAUAAAAUGUUCGAGUGUC
This is a long non-coding RNA of Myotis lucifugus (little brown bat), 272 nucleotides long. RefSeq lists it as uncharacterized. Lineage: Eukaryota; Metazoa; Chordata; Mammalia; Chiroptera; Vespertilionidae. The transcript is spliced from 2 exons. The record is from RefSeq and is a predicted model, not a curated record.